ACUAAUGAAUAUAGAUAUAAAUAGGAGUGUCUUGCACACUUUUAAUAUCCUCACUACUAUUCCCCCCACCCCCACUGGGUAAUUGCCCCACAAGCCACCCACUCACCCGUUCAACGGGGGAGAGGUCCACCGAAUUGGUGCUGUCUGCUCCUCCAGCACCCCCACCACUAAGCACACUGCCAAUGUUACCACUAUUCGUCCCAAACACCGGUGUGGUUGUUUUGAGGGAUUGGGGUUUGGCUUGGGUGGAAUGGUCUGUACCAAAGCUUUGGCGCAGCUUGGUGCGAACCUGGUUGGGGUCCAACAGGUUUUUAAGCCCUGGUCGAGUUGGGUCGUGUUUUCGACUUUCUUAGGUUUAAUCAAAUGGAGGUAGGGGGAGGUGUUUUGGGAAUUGGUUUGACCGGAGCUUUGAGUGGAAGCCUUGUACGAAUCCUUGUCGGUGGAGCUAAUUUGGUACGCGAGGGCAUUGGGGUGCUCCGGUAAGGCGUCCCCUGUUGCGGCGGCGGUGGUAGCUGCUUGCGCGGCCGCCUGAGCUUGAUCUUGUCACACCCCCUUUAAAUCCCACACACUCUCGACCCGGCCCAAGCGGUUGACCCAACUGCCACGAAAGGCCGCUCAGGGCCGCUUGGCCCAAAUGAGGGCGCGCUGCGUCGCAUCACUUGCAUCCAAGCCCGUUAACUGGAGCCCGAGGUAACCCGCGCGGGGUUUGACAAAGUCCGUGAAGGUGACCAGCCACCCGCCCAACUGGAAGCUCAAGCUGGUACCACUGACAACGAGGUUACCAACGUCUUGCGGCGUUCAAGCCAACCCGGGGGUGAUCAGCACAGCCUUCGAAUCAUUAUUUUGUUCGGGAAUUUUAAAACCGAUACCGGGUGAACUGGUCGUGUUGGACCCCGAACCACCCGCUCGCGUCGUCCCAAAAUAGGUUUCCACCAACGCCGGAUUCAACAACCCAUUCACUUCACCAUAAGCGGGGAGGUUGAGCUUGGUUUGGUCCGACUUUAAGUCGGUGUAAGACCAUUUUUGGUCGGUGGCUUGGAAUUUGUUGGAAUCAUCUGACCCACUUCGAUUCACCAACACCGGGAUGCUGCCCAACAAGCCGCGGAGGAAGAGCUGGGCGCGCUGCGCGUUGUUCUUGUUGGUGAAUGACAGCGCGUUCGGUCAAUCGGAUGUGGGGGUGAGGUUGGGGGGGAGGUGAUCAUAAUUCGACGCGGAUUCCGUCGUCGAAUUAGACUGGGGCGCGCCGUCCUGCGUGGUUAAGUUCUGACCUGAUUUACUAAUCUUAUCCUGCUUUAACGAGUCGGGAUUGCCCGCUGAACCACCC
Molecule: small RNA, 1324 nt
Filed under: Mycoplasmoides pneumoniae M129
Lineage: Bacteria; Bacillati; Mycoplasmatota; Mycoplasmoidales; Mycoplasmoidaceae
Description: Mycoplasma pneumoniae M129 ncRNA
Source: RNAcentral